AGAUUGAACGCUGGCGGCAGGCCUAACACAUGCAAGUCGAGCGCGAAAGGUUUUCGGACUGAGUAAAGCGGCGGACGGGUGAGUAACGCGUGGGAAUCUGCCCAGUAGUGGGGGGACAACGUUCCGAAAGGAACGCUAAUACCGCAUACGCCCUACGGGGGAAAGGGGGGGAUCUUCGGACCUCUCGCUAUUGGAUGAGCCUGCGUCGGAUUAGCUAGUUGGUAGGGUGAAGGCCUACCAAGGCUACGAUCCGUAACUGGUCUGAGAGGAUGAUCAGUCACACUGGAACUGAGACACGGUCCAGACUCCUACGGGAGCAGCAGUGGGGAAUAUUGGACAAUGGGGGCAACCCUGAUCCAGCCAUGCCGCGUGUGUGAAGAGGCCGUUAGGUUGUAAGCACUUUCGAGUGGGAAGAAAGUAGAUUACUACUUAAUACGUGACGUCAAUUGAUGUUACCACAGAAGAAGCCGACCGCUAACCGUCCGU
Molecule: ribosomal RNA, 486 nt
Filed under: uncultured soil bacterium
Lineage: Bacteria
Description: bacterial SSU rRNA
Rfam family: Bacterial small subunit ribosomal RNA
Source: RNAcentral